UACAGAGGGUGCAAGCGUUAUCCGGAAUUAUUGGGCGUAAAGCGUCUGUAGGUGGCUUUUUAAGUCCGCCGUCAAAUCCCAGGGCUCAACUCUGGACAGGCGGUGGAAACUGCCAAGCUGGAGUACGGUAGGGGCAGAGGGAAUUUCCGGUGGAGAGGUGAAAUGCGUAGAGAUCGGCAAGAACACCAACGGCGAAAGCAGUCUGCUGGGCCGGUACUGACGCUGAGAGACGAAAGCUAGGGGAGCGAAUGGG
This 253-nucleotide ribosomal RNA is filed under the name uncultured bacterium. RNAcentral describes it as "partial 16S ribosomal RNA". It matches the Rfam family "Bacterial small subunit ribosomal RNA", at positions 524 to 776 of the family's 1533-position model. The record is from RNAcentral.